Calliphora vicina (urban bluebottle blowfly) is the source of this 405-nucleotide long non-coding RNA. RefSeq lists it as uncharacterized. The record is from RefSeq and is a predicted model, not a curated record. Lineage: Eukaryota; Metazoa; Arthropoda; Insecta; Diptera; Calliphoridae. The transcript is spliced from 2 exons.
GAAAUUGUCCAAUUUGAAGUAGUCGUUAAGUAUACGUUCUGAGUUUAUUAUACACAGAUACUUAGUCAUUUUUGCAAUUACAAAAUGUUAAAUUGGUUUAUAUUCGCCUGUUUACUGGCUGUUGUGGUUGCUGACAUCAAUAUGUUCCAAAUAAAUCCAAAAGUGAAUUUUAACACUCCAAAUGGAAAGAAUGGAAAUGGAAACGGUUUUUUCCCCAAGUUUGGGCGUAACAGAGCUUAUAAAAGAAUACAUCCUAAUUUGAAAUGACCUCAUGCUAAAUUUUAUUGGGAUCAUGGAUAUAAGUAUUAAUUUCAAAACGUAAACUUUACGUUUACAUAUCUGGAAAAUUUGGAUGAAUCUUUACAAGAAAUUUCAAUAAAACUAACUAAAUUAAAAUAGCAAAAA